UUAAUUUUUACAAAAAUCUUCUCUUCUGAAACUACUGGCAAAAUUAAAGCAAACAUGGCCAAAAUCAUCCUUAGGAUAUUUAGUUUCAAAAAAGUAUCCGAUGACCCCGCCCAAUAAUUAAGAUGGCCGCAAUGUCUAAAAAUAGAACAUCGCAUAAAAUGUAGAUUUUGGCUUAUAUAUCUGAAACAAAACCAUAGAGACAAUCUAUCAAGGGAUAAGAACAUUUCGCCUCAUAAAAUAAUGUGGACCAGUCAGAACUUUUCAUGUGGGACAAUAUGAGCUCUUAAUUAUAAAAAAAAGUGGGACAAUCGCGAAUAAGCCCUACAGAC
This 329-nucleotide long non-coding RNA is filed under the name Mytilus galloprovincialis (Mediterranean mussel). The record is from RNAcentral. Lineage: Eukaryota; Metazoa; Mollusca; Bivalvia; Mytilida; Mytilidae.